AAAGUUUCAAUGAUCAUUAGAAAUACAGGUGAUGGACAUUCAAGAAACAUCGUUCUCUUUUAAAACACAAUAUUCUGUUUUGUUUUUGUUUUUGUUUUUAAAGAUCCCUGUCUUUUUGUACAUUCCUUAAUAUCUAGUAUUUGUUCCAACACAAUGUUGGUAGCCAGAAGCCACCGACCUGAGGUUGGCAACUCUUAGAGAACGCAGCUUUCCUCUAUAGAACAGCAAGUUGCUACGGUUCAGCCAAAUUCUAUCUGUCUAAUAAAAGGCACAGAUCUCCCUCCGCGCCCCGGCUUGGGCAGGUAACUCACCAGUUCAGCUCCCUCUCCACCGCGCUCUGUGGAAACUGAAAGUGGCCACUGAGCGGGCGCUGUUCGCUAGUUCAUAGACUCUACUGCCGCUGCCGAGAAAUCACGUGGAUUCAAAGUGCCAGCCCCAGGGCGCGCGAGUAGCGUGCCCGGAACCCGCCGCGGCUUGGAGAUCGCAGCGGGACAUGCCUCUCUGACUACUGAGACUGGAGACGAUGUAGGAUGAAGGCAGGAGGAGCCACUGAGCAAAACUUCGUGGAGUUGGGUCCAGGGUCCAGUGGCGACAGCGGCUCAUCACCUGAGACCUGACCUGGACAAGCGCGGCCUCCAGGUGUGUCUCUGCUGGUCCCUGGGUGCAAGGGUUGCCUAGGCUACAGAAGAAAGCUUGGUGCAGGGAUAAGGGAUGGAAAGAGGUGGGCGGUAAGAAAAGGACUACAGGGCCAGCGUCAGCCCUGGAAAGUUCCUGUCUCUGUUCCAAGUUCUACAACCUGCCCUGCCUCUUGUCUUUGUCCCAGAACAGGAGGCCAGGCUCCUCCUGAGGAUGGUUUCUGUGACAUCCCACAGUGAAGCAACUUUCCCAGAAUGCUCUGGGGGAGGAAUGGGGAGACAGUGCAUUAGCACUGUAGGGCAGGGUCAUCAGCACACCCAUGACCCCCAAACCUCAGGCUCAAGUCCUCCUCUUAAGUGCUGGCUACAUCACCUUAGGCCAGUGGUUCUCAGCCUUCCUAAUGCUGGGACCCUUUAAUACUGCAGCCUCACGCUGUGCUGACCCCCAACCAUAACAUUAUUCUCGUUGCUACUUCAUAGCUGUAAUUUUGCUACUGUUACGAAUCAUAAUGAAAUCAUUUGACUUGGCAGAGGUUGGGUCCCCCAGAUUGAGAAACACUGCCCUAGACAAAAGUCUUGACUCUGAGUUUCAGUUCUGUCAUCUGUCCUGAGGACCAGAGAAGGAGCACCUUCCAAUUCCUUCAGAAGAAGUUAGAGCAGAUGUGCUGUGUGCCCAAAACUCUUAAGAAAUCCUUCUACGUUAGUCCCCUUCUUUGGAUCUCAAAUUCCUGUGACCUUCUAACCUCCUCCCUCCCGGGACCGAGCCGGAAAUCUAGAAAGUUCUUGACAGGCAAGAGUGUGUGUGGGGGGGAGUCAUUAUUAUUUUGACUGAUUACUUAUGUGUGACUCUUAGCUUUCCCAACCUUACCUGGCUCGCCUCUUACAAAUAGAUGCCUUGUUUUU
Long non-coding RNA from Mus musculus (house mouse), 1538 nucleotides. RefSeq annotates it as RIKEN cDNA 9330175E14 gene. NCBI's taxonomy places the organism in Eukaryota, Metazoa, Chordata, Mammalia, Rodentia, Muridae. The record is from RefSeq and is marked predicted. The transcript is spliced from 3 exons.